GGUGGGGUAGCGAAGUGGCCAUAACGCGAUCGCCUCGAAAGCGAUUGGGGGUUAACCGCCCCCCGCGGGUUCGAAUCCCGCCCCCACCG
RNAcentral lists this transfer RNA (89 nucleotides) under Actinomycetota bacterium. Its description in RNAcentral is "tRNA-Ser". It matches the Rfam family "tRNA". From Rfam's summary of the family: Transfer RNA (tRNA) molecules are approximately 80 nucleotides in length. Lineage: Bacteria; Bacillati; Actinomycetota. The record is from RNAcentral.